This 359-nucleotide RNase P RNA is filed under the name Dictyoglomota bacterium. RNAcentral describes it as "Dictyoglomi bacterium (hydrothermal vent metagenome) RNase P RNA component class A". It matches the Rfam family "Bacterial RNase P class A". Rfam says of the family: Ribonuclease P (RNase P) is a ubiquitous endoribonuclease, found in archaea, bacteria and eukarya as well as chloroplasts and mitochondria. Lineage: Bacteria; Pseudomonadati; Dictyoglomota. RNAcentral also lists the same sequence under 1 other name. The record is from RNAcentral.
CCAGUGAGAAAGGUGCUCGCAGCAGGUAUAACCUGCUGAGGAAAGUCCGGGCUCCACAGGGCAGGACACCGGGUAACACCCGGCCGGCGCGAGCCGAGGGAAAGUGCCACAGAAAAUAUACCGCCUCACCCUUGUGGUGGGGUAAGGGUGAAAAGGUGGGGUAAGAGCCCACCGCUUCUUCCGCGAGGAAGAAGGCAUGGUAAACCCUGUCCGGAGCAAGGCCAAAUAUGGGGGCAGGUUGGCCCGACCAAUGCCCCCGGGUAGGCUGCAUGAGCUAUCCUGUAAAGGAUAGCCCAGAUACAUGAGCACCACCUUCCCUAUGGGAAGGUACAGAACCCGGCUUACUUCUCACUGGGACC